GAGCGAGUUAGCGGAUAUCCACUUAAUAUUGCCAUCCCUAGUUAGAGGAGUGAGGAGCUUGAUGGAGAAAGCAGUAGGAAAGAGGAAGGAGAAAACCUAAAAGUAACGGUACAUAAUCCUAGUAAAUUUACAAAAUUAUCCCAAAUAAUUCAAAGAACUGACGACUUUACCCUUGUGAUUAACAAAUUUUGUCAAUCAUAAAUAUUAACUUGUAUUUCCGCAGCUAAGAUCACAUGUUAUAUUUUUUUUUAUAAUUUAUUAUUUUUUUAUAUAUUUUUUUUAGAAUAUACGAAUCUAAAUGUCCUUACAACACAAAGUUAGACAAAUAGAAUAUAAAAGUUCUCAUGUCUUAUGGAUAAACUAAUUCAAGUAGAUUGUAAAAGUUCUCCUGUCUUCUGGAUAAAUUAAUACAAGCAAAUUGGAAGAAACAAAGGGAAAAUAAAAAUAACAAAGAUAACUAAACUGAGCUAAACUAAACUAAACUUCAAAGCUUCUCAACACUAGUAUAUUAAAGUAAAUGGGAAGCCUCGAAUAGGGAGCGGUUAUUGAAUUCCGCUUCCAAAAACACCUAAAAAAAACCAAAUCAAGCAAAUGGGAAGCGGUUAUGGAUGAACCGCUCCCAAAUAGUGUAAUUGGUAGCGGUUUGUACAGUGAAUCGCUCCUCAUUUGCUAAAAUACCCCAUCUUCUUCUCUCUCCUCCUCUCAUUUCUCACGCUCUUCUUCUCUCUCCUCUCAUUUCUCACGCCAUCUUCUGUCUCACGCCUCACUUCUUUCUCCUCUCUCCCCUCCAUUCUCACGUCCUUUCCUCUCUCCCUUCCAUUCUCACGUCCUCUCCUCUCUCCAUCUCCUUCUCUUUCUGUUCUCUCUUCUCCUUUCUCAAGCUUCCCUUUCUUUUCUCUCUCCUCUUAUCACCGGCCACAACAACCACCCACCAGGCAACCACCGAGUAGCCUACAACAACCCACCAAGCAGCCCAAAUCGAGCAAAUCCGAGCAAAAAUCGAGUUAAAUUCGACCAUGGAAUUCUAGUAUUUUAGGUGGCGUCGGUUGCGGUGGUGGGAUCCUGGCGUCGAUUGCGGUGGUGGGCUGCUGGCUUCGGUUGCGGGGGUGGGCUGCUAGCUUCGGCUGGUGGCUACGAUGGCGGUGGUGGCGGAAUAGGGUGGUGGUGAUUUUGGUUGUAUUUUUCUUGGUGUUGAAUUAUAAUGUAAUAUUACAAUUAAUUAUUAAUGGAAAUAUAAAUUUUUAUACUUACGUUUUAUAUUUGUGUA
This is a long non-coding RNA of Chenopodium quinoa (quinoa), 1267 nucleotides long. RefSeq lists it as uncharacterized. The record is from RefSeq and is a predicted model, not a curated record. Lineage: Eukaryota; Viridiplantae; Streptophyta; Magnoliopsida; Caryophyllales; Amaranthaceae. The transcript is spliced from 2 exons.